CGGAAUGUAGCGCAGUUGGUAGCGCACCUGGUUUGGGACCAGGGGGUCGCGGGUUCGAGUCCCGCCAUUCCGA
This 73-nucleotide transfer RNA is filed under the name Herelleviridae sp. Its description in RNAcentral is "tRNA-Pro". It matches the Rfam family "tRNA". Rfam says of the family: Transfer RNA (tRNA) molecules are approximately 80 nucleotides in length. Their secondary structure includes four short double-helical elements and three loops (D, anti-codon, and T loops). The record is from RNAcentral. Lineage: Duplodnaviria; Heunggongvirae; Uroviricota; Caudoviricetes; Herelleviridae.